Molecule: long non-coding RNA, 399 nt
Organism: Dromaius novaehollandiae (emu)
Lineage: Eukaryota; Metazoa; Chordata; Aves; Casuariiformes; Dromaiidae
Exons: 3
Source: RefSeq, a predicted model, not a curated record
AUUCAGCCAUAGAAAGCAGCGCAAGCAGAAGCAUUUGCACUUUCCUUAUUCUGAUUUAUGGUAACUGGGAAGGCUAUUUAUAUUAAAUCUUUUCCAGUCCUCAGCUCAUCAAGAAGGCAGACUGUGACAGAAUCACCAGUCCACUAAGGCUUCUUCUAGAUGUGGUAAACAAGGGGUGGAAAGCAACACUUUGUAUAAAACCUGCACGUGCCAGCGUAGACAAAGGAGGAUCACCGACAGGAACUGUCCACACGUACCCACUCCUGUAGCGAUGCUGCCAGAUUCAGAUACUAUCUUCAGAGAGACUGUCCACUGAUAAGAUCAAGUCACCAUGUGGCAAGUCGAACCAUCCCUUAAAGAAGAUGAGCACCUGAGAAAAAUUUUGAUGUAAUGCAUCAC